CCUACGGGAGGCAGCAGUAGGGAAUCUUCCACAAUGGACGAAAGUCUGAUGGAGCAACGCCGCGUGAGUGAUGAAGGUUUUCGGAUCGUAAAACUCUGUUGUAAGGGAAGAACAGGUAUGAGAGGUAAUGCUCAUGCUAUGACGGUACCUUACGAGAAAGCCACGGCUAACUACGUGCCAGCAGCCGCGGUAAUACGUAGGUGGCAAGCGUUGUCCGGAAUUAUUGGGCGUAAAGCGCGCGCAGGCGGCCUUUUAAGUCUGAUGUGAAAGCCCCCGGCUCAACCGGGGAGGGUCAUUGGAAACUGGAAGGCUUGAGUACAGAAGAGAAGAGUGGAAUUCCAUGUGUAGCGGUGAAAUGCGUAGAGAUGUGGAGGAACACCAGUGGCGAAGGCGACUCUUUGGUCUGUAACUGACGCUGAGGCGCGAAAGCGUGGGGAGCAAACAGGAUUAGAUACCCUGGUAGUCCACGCCGUAAACGAUGAGUGCUAGGUGUUGGGGGGUUUCCGCCCCUCAGUGCUGAAGCUAACGCAUUANGCACUCCGCCUGGGGAGUACGGCCGCAAGGCUGAAACUCAAAUGAAUUGACGGGG
This 589-nucleotide ribosomal RNA is filed under the name uncultured Exiguobacterium sp. Its description in RNAcentral is "bacterial SSU rRNA". It matches the Rfam family "Bacterial small subunit ribosomal RNA", at positions 338 to 918 of the family's 1533-position model. The record is from RNAcentral. Lineage: Bacteria; Bacillati; Bacillota; Bacilli; Caryophanales.